This 492-nucleotide ribosomal RNA is filed under the name uncultured bacterium. Its description in RNAcentral is "partial 16S ribosomal RNA". It matches the Rfam family "Bacterial small subunit ribosomal RNA", at positions 29 to 507 of the family's 1533-position model. The record is from RNAcentral.
AUUGAACGCUGGCGGCAUGCUUUACACAUGCAAGUCGAACGGUAACAGGCCUUCGGGUGCUGACGAGUGGCGAACGGGUGAGUAAUGCAUCGGAACGUAACCAGAGGUGGGGGAUAACGCAGCGAAAGCUGUGCUAAUACCGCAUGUGAUCUGAGGAUGAAAGCGGGGGACCGAGCAGCAAUGUUUGGCCUCGCGCCUUUGGAGCGGCCGAUGUCGGAUUAGCUAGUUGGUGGGGUAAAGGCCUACCAAGGCGACGAUCCGUAGCUGGUCUGAGAGGACGACCAGCCACACUGGGACUGAGACACGGCCCAGACUCCUACGGGAGGCAGCAGUGGGGAAUUUUGGACAAUGGGCGCAAGCCUGAUCCAGCAAUGCCGCGUGCGGGAAGAAGGCCUUCGGGUUGUAAACCGCUUUUGGCAGGAACGAAACGGUGUCCGCUAAUACCGGGCGCUAAUGACGGUACCUGCAGAAUAAGCACCGGCUAACUACGUG